CUACGGGAUGCUCCAGUGAGGAAUAUUGCACAAUGGGGGGAACCCUGAUGCAGCAACGCCGCGUGGAGGAUGACGCAUUUCGGUGUGUAAACUCCUUUUAUAUGUCAAGAAGAUGACGGUAGCAUAUGAAUAAGCACCGGCUAACUCCGUGCCAGCAGCCGCGGUAAUACGGAGGGUGCAAGCGUUACUCGGAAUCACUGGGCGUAAAGGACGCGUAGGCGGGUUGGAAAGUCAGGUGUGAAAUCCUACAGCUUAACUGUAGAACUGCACUUGAAACUUCUAAUCUAGAGUAUGGGAGGGGGAGAUGGAAUUAGUGGUGUAGGGGUAAAAUCCGUAGAUAUCACUAGGAAUACCUAAAGCGAAGGCGAUCUCCUGGAACAUUACUGACGCUAAGGCGUGAAAGUGUGGGGAGCAAACAGGAUUAGAUACCCCCGUAGUC
Molecule: ribosomal RNA, 439 nt
Filed under: uncultured bacterium
Lineage: Bacteria
Description: partial 16S ribosomal RNA
Rfam family: Bacterial small subunit ribosomal RNA
Source: RNAcentral